AGAGUUUGAUCCUGGCUCAGAACGAACGCUGGCGGCAGGCCUAACACAUGCAAGUCGAGCGAGAUCUUCGGAUCUAGCGGCGGACGGGUGAGUAACGCGUGGGAAUGUGCCCUUCUCUACGGAAUAGUCCCGGGAAACUGGGUUUAAUACCGUAUACGCCCUUCGGGGGAAAGAUUUAUCGGAGAAGGAUCAGCCCGCGUUGGAUUAGGUAGUUGGUGGGGUAAUGGCCUACCAAGCCGACGAUCCAUAGCUGGUUUGAGAGGAUGAUCAGCCACACUGGGACUGAGACACGGCCCAGACUCCUACGGGAGGCAGCAGUGGGGAAUCUUAGACAAUGGGGGAAACCCUGAUCUAGCCAUGCCGCGUGAGUGACGAAGGCCCUAGGGUCGUAAAGCUCUUUCGCCAGGGAUGAUAAUGACAGUACCUGGUAAAGAAACCCCGGCUAACUCCGUGCCAGCAGCCGCGGUAAUACGGAGGGGGUUAGCGUUGUUCGGAAUUACUGGGCGUAAAGCGCACGUAGGCGGACUAUUAAGUCAGGGGUGAAAUCCCGGGGCUCAACCCCGGAACUGCCUUUGAUACUGGUAGUCUUGAGUUCGAGAGAGGUGAGUGGAAUUCC
Molecule: ribosomal RNA, 616 nt
Filed under: uncultured bacterium
Lineage: Bacteria
Description: bacterial SSU rRNA
Rfam family: Bacterial small subunit ribosomal RNA
Source: RNAcentral